AAACUAAUAAGUUAAGUUAAACUGUGGGGUUCAUGUCUCCAUUAUACAUAUCAUUAUGUUUAGUUGA
RNAcentral lists this transfer RNA (67 nucleotides) under Taenia sp. MZH:127001. Its description in RNAcentral is "tRNA-Met". The record is from RNAcentral. Lineage: Eukaryota; Metazoa; Platyhelminthes; Cestoda; Cyclophyllidea; Taeniidae.